This 71-nucleotide transfer RNA is filed under the name Loxodonta africana (African savanna elephant). It matches the Rfam family "tRNA". Rfam says of the family: Transfer RNA (tRNA) molecules are approximately 80 nucleotides in length. Their secondary structure includes four short double-helical elements and three loops (D, anti-codon, and T loops). The record is from Rfam by way of RNAcentral. Lineage: Eukaryota; Metazoa; Chordata; Mammalia; Proboscidea; Elephantidae.
GGGAUGGUGGUUCAGUGACCGAAUUCUCACCUUCCAUGUGGAAGACCUGGGUUCAAUUCUCAGCCAAUGCA